This is a non-coding RNA of Paramuricea clavata, 405 nucleotides long. NCBI's taxonomy places the organism in Eukaryota, Metazoa, Cnidaria, Anthozoa, Malacalcyonacea, Plexauridae. The record is from the annotation of a GenBank genome assembly.
AUAGCAUAUGUACCCUCGAGAGAGUACUGAACUGUUUUAAUAAUAAAUAUCUGGUUUAUUUCACCAAUUUUCUACGACUAGAUACACAAUUUAAUUAAUACAAAGUAUAUCAAUAUCAAAUCAAUAAUCAUGUAUAUAAAACAUGAAUUCACAUGAAAAAACAACACAAAAACAACACCUUCCAUUACAAGAAACAUUUAAAUACCUGGGUUCCCAUCUGGUGCAUCAUCGUAGCCACCAAAAAGAAAUAACUAAUGUCCAAAAAUAUAAAAUAAUUUACUUCUCAAAUGUUUACAAUUUUUAUCACUUUCAUUUUUUAACUUGUGAGCCUGCGUAACCUUGUACAGCAGUUACAGGCCAAAACUACUGUCUACUUCGUCUUACCAUUUGUAUUGUUUCUCAUCA